RNAcentral lists this long non-coding RNA (278 nucleotides) under Homo sapiens (human). RNAcentral describes it as "endogenous retrovirus group K13 member 1". Lineage: Eukaryota; Metazoa; Chordata; Mammalia; Primates; Hominidae. The record is from RNAcentral.
ACAGCCAACAGGGGGAGCAGUGCGAGCGUGAAGGCAGACAGUGGCCUGGCCCAGUCUGAUGGGAGAGACCCACCGACCCUGUGGGGCUGGUCCCUACAUCUGGCGCUCUGACGUGGGGCUCUCCCUCGCUGUGUGAAGUUGCACCCUGAGUGCGGGAUCAGCGGAGGAGUUCAACGAGAGAUUCCUGAGGAUUGCAGUCUAUAAACUUGGUGCAGGCGGCUGACCCCGCAGCUCAACAAGAUCAAGAGGCUGAUAAUCAAGCCCCUCAGCCCGAAACU